GGCAAAAUCACAUUGAAACAUUAUUUCCCGUAAGAUCACCGAUGUUAAGCAACGUUGAGCCUAGUCAGUACCUAGAUGGGUGACUGCUUGGAAAUACCAGGU
Molecule: ribosomal RNA, 102 nt
Filed under: Acanthosepion pharaonis
Lineage: Eukaryota; Metazoa; Mollusca; Cephalopoda; Sepiida; Sepiidae
Source: RNAcentral